This 781-nucleotide long non-coding RNA is filed under the name Mytilus galloprovincialis (Mediterranean mussel). The record is from RNAcentral. Lineage: Eukaryota; Metazoa; Mollusca; Bivalvia; Mytilida; Mytilidae.
GUUCGUUUUUCAACCGAAAAUAGCAAAACCUCAUGAAGUAUAUCGUUGGAGUUUAUAAACUACAUUUAAUUCCCCUGUGCCAUGGUUUGCCAUCUGCGUUUUUUUUAACAAAGCAUGGUUGGUUACAUAUUAUGAAUUUACUUACAAUUUCGGAAUUUUUUUUCUCAAGUAAACGGAAUCAGAAAAAAAAUCACUGUCCUGUGUCGAAUACCUAAAACUUGUCAAAGAAUAUGAAAAGUGUUUGUAGAAAAGUACGGUUUCAUUUUUCAAGUACAACGCUAAUUCAUCGAGUCCAUUGAGUGAAAGAAAAGGCAGGAUGAGCAACUUUUGGGGGAGUCAAUGAAAAAAAUAUGUGGAUUGAGUUUUUUUUUUUUUUUUUUUCAUUGAACUUUUGUUGUCGUCCCUUGAUCCAGAGGACAAAUUUGAAUUAAAUAUUUCGAUGUGAAAACUGUUAAGAUUUUAAAGUUUAAAAUUUUACUAUCAAUUGCAGAAAAUUAUAAAACCAAUGAAUUUCACAUGCACAUUUAUAAAAGCUAGAAUUGUGAUUGCUUAAUCAAGAACACAAUCAUGUACGCAAAUACGACGAUGGAAGCUUUAAACGACCUUGACCAGCUACGUGAAUAUUGAUCAGUCCAUUCAACGUUAUAGUACGUGUGUUCUAUUUUCGCAGGUGUGAGGUCGAAGGUUUGAAUUGACCAAUGAAAACGAUCGUUCCUUAAAGAGUUAAUCUAAUAAAGUUUGUUUGACUGAUUACGUCGCAAUACCUUUCGCUAAGCUUUAC